GACGAACGCUGGCGGCGUGCUUAACACAUGCAAGUCGAACGGAAAGGCCCUGCUUUUGUGGGGUGCUCGAGUGGCGAACGGGUGAGUAACACGUGAGUAACCUGCCCUUGACUUUGGGAUAACUUCAGGAAACUGGGGCUAAUACCGGAUAGGAGCUCCUGCUGCAUGGUGGGGGUUGGAAAGUUUCGGCGGUUGGGGAUGGACUCGCGGCUUAUCAGCUUGUUGGUGGGGUAGUGGCUUACCAAGGCUUUGACGGGUAGCCGGCCUGAGAGGGUGACCGGCCACAUUGGGACUGAGAUACGGCCCAGACUCCUACGGGAGGCAGCAGUGGGGAAUAUUGCACAAUGGGCGGAAGCCUGAUGCGGCAACGCCGCGUGCGGGAUGACGGCCUUCGGGUGGUAAACCGCUUUCGCCUGUGACGAAGCGUGAGUGACGGUAAUGGGUAAAGAAGCACCGGCUAACUACGU
This 467-nucleotide ribosomal RNA is filed under the name uncultured bacterium. RNAcentral's name for it is "partial 16S ribosomal RNA". It matches the Rfam family "Bacterial small subunit ribosomal RNA", at positions 28 to 506 of the family's 1533-position model. The record is from RNAcentral.